This is a long non-coding RNA of Heterocephalus glaber (naked mole-rat), 727 nucleotides long. NCBI's taxonomy places the organism in Eukaryota, Metazoa, Chordata, Mammalia, Rodentia, Bathyergidae. The record is from Ensembl.
CUGAGUGCAAAUGUUUGUUUUAGGUAGCAAGGCAGGCAAGCAUGGGGACAGUUUGGCUGAAUAAUUAACUUUUAUCUGAUUGUCCUUUGGAUCCUUCCUUGUUUUCCUCAUAAGGCCCAUCUCUGCUCCAGUUGGCAAAACAUCAUCAAGAUGUUCUGGCUCCUGGGAGUUAGCAUAUCCCCCCUCACCCCCACUUGAGCAGACAUCGACCUGUUGGGUGUCACAAGGAAUUCCACAAGGAAUGCCUGCCAGAUAGGUUAAAUUCUGAUUUUGAAACAUCACUGGCAAAUCUGAAAGUAAAAUAAGAAAAUAUGAAGCGAUGGAAAAAUCUCCCCUGGCUCAUAGUGUUGAACAGAAGAGAAAAAAAGCUGAAGCUUGUUCCUACAAACCUGUCCCCAAGAGCCCUCCAAUUUUCACCUCUCUUCAUGACUGCAAGCCUAUAUCCAGAGUCCUAGCAUCACUGCUCACACUGUCUACCUCUUCAUCCAUAUUCAUUGUCAAGUCUACAGUUAAGAAACUCGAACAAGUUAUUGCAUUUAGAUGUAGUAGUCUGUACAAUCUGUUAGGUAUUUGUAAAAAUGCUUACCGCAUUAUAACCCAUGAAUUAGUCAGUGAAAUAAAAUACAUAUAAAUGUAUGUCUGAUCUCUUAAAAAGGUUAUUUUUAAAUCUUUAUAACCAUUUCCUUUAAACUAGUUUCUCAAAAAGAUCAGUGAGCCUACAGAAGAC